Molecule: ribosomal RNA, 390 nt
Filed under: uncultured bacterium
Lineage: Bacteria
Description: bacterial SSU rRNA
Rfam family: Bacterial small subunit ribosomal RNA
Source: RNAcentral
AUUGAACGCUGGCGGCAUGCCUUACACAUGCAAGUCGAACGGCAGCACGGGAGCAAUCCUGGUGGCGAGUGGCGAACGGGUGAGUAAUAUAUCGGAACGUGCCCAGUCGUGGGGAUAACGUAGCGAAAGCUACGCUAAUACCGCAUACGAUCUACGGAUGAAAGCGGGGGAUCGCAAGACCUCGCGCGAUUGGAGCGGCCGAUAUCAGAUUAGGUAGUUGGUGAGGUAAAGGCUCACCAAGCCGACGAUCUGUAGCUGGUCUGAGAGGACGACCAGCCACACUGGGACUGAGACACGGCCCAGACUCCUACGGGAGGCAGCAGUGGGAAUUUUGGACAAUGGGCGCAAGCCUGAUCCAGCAAUGCCGCGUGCAGGAUGAAGGCCUCGGUU